GGUCUGCGUCCGUGCACGGCUGAGCGCGGCAGGAAGCCUGUAGGUCAGGAGCAGGAGGUGGUGGGCGGAGCUGAACAGCAGCACAAGCUUCAGGACAGAAGACAGGAAGGACAGCAGGUGGACAGACAGACGGACAAAAGCUGCUCAUGGUCAGAAGCAUGCGGGAGUGAAGCAGGUGUGUGUGUGUGUGUGUGUGUGUGUGUGUGUGUGUGUGUGUGUGUGUGUGUGUGUGCAGGAAUACCUGCGUCAGCUGGAGCUCAUCAGGCAGGAGUACCACCGAGACGUGAGGCUGAUGAGGCAGAGACCUGCAGCACAGCUCCAACGUGGAACCUUUGUGGUGGAGAAACCUGGACACCCAGAGGCGUCUGUAGUGCCGGUAAGAUCCAGAUCUGCUGAGAUCCGGUCAAAGUCUGCUUCCUCAGUCCGGUCAGGACCUAUCAGGACCUCAGGCCACAUCCGAGUGGAGGGUCUACGCCUGGGAAACUCAAAGAACGCAGAACAUUCAUGAAAUCUACAAUACCAGCCCCCCCACACACAGUGCCAACCCCCGCAGCUGCACUCAUGCACCCAACUUCAUUCAUUUCGUCUGACUCUGCAGGAUGUUGAAGCAGCUCUGCAGCAGAUCAGGGAGGACAGCAGCGACCAGAGAAGACCGCAGCUCAAGGUGAGGAAGAGGAGACGAAGCUGCUGCUUCCAGCUCCAUGAGUCUGUGAACCCCAGCUGCUCUCAUUCAACAUCGCUAGAGCACAGAAAACGAUGAGAAAGCUUCUCGUGUGACGUUUCCCCAGAGAGGAAUCACGUUUGAAGUUUGCUUAAACGAUGAAGAGGAGGUCAAAGAGGAGAGCGGACCCACAGAGGAGGUGACGCUCGGAGGAGGACGGAAUCUGCUCCUCCUUUUCCCUUCACUCACUCUUUGAAUCAAACUCCAGGACGGGAAGAGGAUGAACCUGGAGGAGUGGUUUCGGGUGAGAAGAGGGUGGAGCAUGAGGUGUCCUCAGACGGCGCUGGACGCCCUCGCGGACAUGGACGUCAACUCGGCGUCCCACACGGCCGCUGGAGCUGCAGAAGCUCUCACAGAGGAGGGGGCCACAGGUCGCAGGCGGUGGGUGGACACCCCCCCAAAAUCCCUGCUGGAUGCUCUGGGUCAGGCUGAACUGACAUCAUCCACUCUGGACUCACCGGCUGCAGACCUGGAGUCAGAGGACGUCACCAGGGAGGAGAAAGAGGGAAAACAGCCGGAUGGGGAAGAGGAGGAAGACUCUGAUGUGGAGUUGGAUGCAGAGCGUCUGGAGCCGCGGUCCGAUGACGAUGACACGAACUUUGAGGAAUCCGAGGACGAGCUGAAGGAGGAGGUGGCAGACUCCAUGAGGAACCUGUUGGUCAUGGAGGACUCCGGCUCCGAGGAGCACGGAGAAGCCGAGAGCUGCAACGGAUCCUCAGCAGGUCCACCCGUGUGACGGAGGAACCGAAGGGCGGCGGCAUCGGUCCGGCUGAACAUGAACAGCCUCAGCCCUGCCGACCAUGAACCAACACUAAUGUCCCUUCUAACAAAAACCCAACAGUUUCUGAAAGCUUCAGGUCUGUUGGUCUGAGGUUAGAAAAAAAGCAAAGGAACCAGAGAAUUAUGAGCAGAACAGCAAGAGAAACCCCUGGAAGGAACGAGUGUUUAUGGACAAGAAGUUUGCUUCUCUAAACUGCCUCCUGUGUUCGGCUAAAGGAAAACACUCUCAUGUGUUUCUAUGCAGACAAAAUGUCUUGGUUUAGUUUUCCCUGAUGUGAGCAGAUCAUGUAGAAUUUCAGGUCAGACUUUUCAGCGUUGAGUAUUUCCACCGUCUAACAUCCUAAACGAUGAAAACUCCAAUCUUUGGAUUGAGAUGCUCACAGGAGUUUAUCCUCUG
This 1898-nucleotide long non-coding RNA is filed under the name Oryzias sinensis (Chinese medaka). RNAcentral's name for it is "lncRNA (ENSOSIG00000010187.1)". Lineage: Eukaryota; Metazoa; Chordata; Actinopteri; Beloniformes; Adrianichthyidae. The record is from RNAcentral.